AGCGGAGGAACGAUGUGGUUUAAUUCGAUGAUACGCGAGGAACCUUACCCGGGCUUGAACUGCAGGAGAACGAUUCAGAGAUGAUGAGGUCCUUCGGGACUCCUGUGGAGGUGCUGCAUGGUUGUCGUCAGCUCGUGCCGUGAGGUGUCGGCUUAAGUGCCAUAACGAGCGCAACCCCUCUCCGUAGUUGCCAUCGGGUGAUGCCGGGCACUCUGCGGACACUGCCACCGUAAGGUGUGA
RNAcentral lists this ribosomal RNA (240 nucleotides) under uncultured bacterium. RNAcentral's name for it is "partial 16S ribosomal RNA". It matches the Rfam family "Bacterial small subunit ribosomal RNA", at positions 928 to 1167 of the family's 1533-position model. The record is from RNAcentral.